RNAcentral lists this ribosomal RNA (483 nucleotides) under uncultured bacterium. RNAcentral's name for it is "partial 16S ribosomal RNA". It matches the Rfam family "Bacterial small subunit ribosomal RNA", at positions 29 to 507 of the family's 1533-position model. The record is from RNAcentral.
UUGAACGCUGGCGGCAUGCUUUACACAUGCAAGUCGAACGGCAGCGCGGGCUUCGGCCUGGCGGCGAGUGGCGAACGGGUGAGUAAUGCAUCGGAACGUGCCCAGUAGUGGGGGAUAGCCCGGCGAAAGCCGGAUUAAUACCGCAUACGACCUGAGGGUGAAAGCGGGGGACCGAAAGGCCUCGCGCUAUUGGAGCGGCCGAUGUCGGAUUAGCUAGUUGGUGGGGUAAAGGCUUACCAAGGCGACGAUCCGUAGCUGGUCUGAGAGGACGACCAGCCACACUGGGACUGAGACACGGCCCAGACUCCUACGGGAGGCAGCAGUGGGGAAUUUUGGACAAUGGGGGCAACCCUGAUCCAGCCAUGCCGCGUGCGGGAAGAAGGCCUUCGGGUUGUAAACCGCUUUUGUUCGGGAAGAAAUCCUCUGGGCUAAUACCCCAGGGGGAUGACGGUACCGGAAGAAUAAGCACCGGCUAACUACGUG